RNAcentral lists this ribosomal RNA (254 nucleotides) under uncultured bacterium. Its description in RNAcentral is "partial 16S ribosomal RNA". It matches the Rfam family "Bacterial small subunit ribosomal RNA", at positions 524 to 776 of the family's 1533-position model. The record is from RNAcentral.
UACGUAGGGUGCGAGCGUUGUCCGGAAUUAUUGGGCGUAAAGAGCUCGUAGGCGGUGUGUCACGUCGGCCGUGAAAACCUGCAGCUUAACUGUGGGCGUGCGGUCGAUACGGGCAUCACUGGAGUUCGGCAGGGGAGACUGGAAUUCCUGGUGUAGCAGUGCAAUGCGCAGAUAUCAGGAGGAACACCGGUGGCGAAGGCGGGUCUCUGGGCCGAUACUGACGCUGAGGAGCGAAAGCGUGGGGAGCAAACAGG